CAACAACUCACCUGAACCUUCGGUGCACUCCGUAACGGAUAUCCAACGCACCCUUUUUAGCGACGCGGUCUACCGGUAGAUAGAAACCCCUCGCGCUGUUCAGCUCACGUGCCGACGUCUGUUCCCUCCCCAACUCAGCACACAUCGGUAAUACGUCAUGUUGGCUUCAAAAUGAGCAACAAACUCACACUACAAGUUACUCGUGUCCCCAGUUAAGUAUUCAUAACAUUACUUAAAAGGUCGUCUUUGCCAAGGGUGUAACCAUGGAACCAUGGUUCGGACAUUGGGGGGGUCCGCCGGACGCUGCGGCCCCGCUGAGCGGAGCGAGCGGCCACUCAGAGAGUCCCGGUUUUGUCGGCUCGCCUUUGGCUCAAGUGGUCAGGCGCCGGCUGACAGGCGGAUUCAUCCACUUCCUGUGAGCCGGCUGGACACGACGGACGGGCCAAUGUGCUGCUUCCAAACGUUCGAGAGAAGACGUGGACGAAAAGCGAGUCGGUAGCUGUCGACCUUCUGUUCUCUAAAAGCACACUGUUCGCUCUGUUAAAUGUUAAAGUUAUUAUCCUCACUAUCCAUCUGGAAUAAUAUGAAGACAAACAUGCAGCGCUUGGAUGUAUUACUCACAAACACAAAAAAAUCAUUGUUAUUCAUGUACAGAUCAACACUUCAUGUGUUAUUUCAGAAUUCGAGCAUUUCAGUCCUCUGGUUAUGAAACAAACUCCCCAGAGCGCCUUGGUAGCCAAGUGGUGACGUCGGGCGGUCGGUCGCCACGGUUACAAUAACCACCAUUUGGUUAUGGGGAGGGUAACGAUGAUGGUAAAAAUAACAACGCCGCCUGCUUUGUCCUCGGCCCGUCUACUGACUGCGUCACCUGACAUCCUGCUUUGCUGCAGCCGUUACUACAACAGCAGCUCGGGGGGCUUCGGGGGCUUCGACGCGUCAGUGUCACAUCUGUCGCUUCGGGGCACGGGUCCAAAUUACAGACGUCCCGCACGAAAACAUGUUGGAAGACUAUUUAUGUCACGGCUUUGGAUCCAUUUUAACGUGAAUAACGUAUGUAUAACAAUGGCACAUUCAUUCAUUCGCUUGGAUUACUUGGAGAUAAUGUGGUAAAUAUUCAUAUUUUGGUGUCAAAAGGUGGUUAUUUGACUUCACAGCCCAACUUUUCUCAUUACUAAAUAUUAGAUUCCUUGUGGUAAAUGUUAUAGU
Molecule: long non-coding RNA, 1206 nt
Organism: Gasterosteus aculeatus aculeatus (three-spined stickleback)
Lineage: Eukaryota; Metazoa; Chordata; Actinopteri; Perciformes; Gasterosteidae
Source: Ensembl